AUUUUGCAUCAAUAACUGGUGCGAUAAUAAGUCUCGCAACACUGCCCAUGUUGUUUUUGUCGACCAUGUUGUUGUGCGGGCAGUUCGCGUUUCGAAUCUUGUUCCGCCGGUGCCAUUUUGUCGCGAGAAUCAAGAAAAGUGAUCGUUUUGUGAGUUUGGUGACCGCGAUUUGCCUGCAAGACGGCCGCUGCUGCAAUCACAGGCGAUUUUUCUUCCCGUCCUCCUCCGAGUGCGGCCAAGGAAGUGCAGAAGAAGACGCACGCAUUCCAUCAGGUUUUAAUCCAUCAACGGGAUUGCCCGUACGUACGCGCCCCCCAACGGAAUCCGUCUCUUUCCAGGGGAAUCGAAUGAAGCCAAAAUUUGUGUCAUUCCGGGCAUGAAUUAUGUCGCCCAUGCGAAUAUUCUGCCGUAUGAUUCCGGCGAAAAUCAUCCGCUGCAACACGAGCUGUUCCGUAAGUUUGUGGCGCACCAACCGGACAAGGACCCGCUGUUAAGCGUUCAGGAGGAUGACAGGGCAUGGAAAAAGUGGAACCAAUGGCUGGAGCACGUCGAAUCACCGAAGGCAUACGGGUGACCGUGUUCCCGUUCUACAUGGGAUGUCGCGAUACGUCAGCUGCUUCGGUGUAUUUGGUCGGUACGAAUAACAUUAUCGAGCUCUGUGAAUCAUUUUAAUGGUUUCUAAGGCAACCUCAACACAUCCUUGAGUGCCUUCAGACUUGUAUUUCAUCUGGAAGUGUUCACUGCGGAUCUUCAGAUUCAUCACCGGAAGCGUCCAAGCCAUUAUGUUCCAUAUUUUAAAUAAUUAUUUAAUGCUAUAAAACAAAUGUAAUAAAUGAUUCAUAAAUAAUACAAUAAAAAGUAAUUGAUGAU
This is a long non-coding RNA of Aedes aegypti (yellow fever mosquito), 870 nucleotides long. RefSeq lists it as uncharacterized. NCBI's taxonomy places the organism in Eukaryota, Metazoa, Arthropoda, Insecta, Diptera, Culicidae. The record is from RefSeq and is a predicted model, not a curated record. The transcript has 2 exons.